Oncorhynchus nerka (sockeye salmon) is the source of this 3886-nucleotide long non-coding RNA. RefSeq lists it as uncharacterized. The record is from RefSeq and is a predicted model, not a curated record. NCBI's taxonomy places the organism in Eukaryota, Metazoa, Chordata, Actinopteri, Salmoniformes, Salmonidae. The transcript has 3 exons.
AAAAUGCAAGAACAAAAAUACUGGAGUUUUUCUGUGGAACAUUUCCAAAUGACAUCAGUUUGACCAUUUGUAGAAAAUAGAAAGCUGUGAAAACAACCCAACAUGUUUCUGAUAAUAUUUCAGUUUGGCAUGAAUUGAAAUACUAUCAGCUUUUAUGAUGCUGAUAAGAUAACACCUCUACAGAACCUAUCUAACUGUGCAUUAGCAUUCUCUCAAGAUGCUCUCAGAUGCUGAAAGAAAUCAUAUUUCGACACUCCUGAUCCUGAGUCCAAAUUUAGCCUACAUCAAAGACAACAGGUGUAGACUUUACUUUGAAAUACUUACUUACGAGCCCUUUCCCAGCAAUGCAGAAUUAAAAAGUAAGAAACGAUUAGCAAAAAAAAAAAAAUAGUAACACAAUAAAAUAACAAUAAUAGCUUGUGUACAUUAGUACUCUGUGCCGCUUGCCACUCCGGCCGCCCAGAGUGGCUCACUUGUGGGUGUGCUGGCAGCAUAUAGCAGCACGUUCGACUGUGCAUCAAGAAUUCAGCAUAGCAAGUUUGUAUGAAGGUCUGGUUGGUAAAUAGUUUAAUCCAUUCUUUAUUUCAUUCAUUUAUUCACAGGUAAAUAGUAAUAUGCUCUAAACCGCUCUGGUGACAAACAAACUUUGCUGUCCUGUUUCCAAUCGUUCACAUGGCUGGGAGAACCUUUUCAAAUACAGAGAGCUUUGAAAGCCUGUCUGCAGAUGAAGAGGUCCCAAUGAAGAGCAGUGGUUCUCAGUCCUGGUCCUGGGGACUCAGAGGGGUGCACAUUUGAGUUUUUAGCUUAGCACUACAGAGCGGAUUCAAAUGAUCAACUCAUCAUCAAGCUUCAAGUGGUAUUUAUGUACAGUUGAAGUCGGAAGUUUGCAUAUACUUAGGUUGGAGUCAUUAAAACUAGUUUUUCAACCACCACAAAUUUCUUGUUAACAAACUAUAGUUUUGGCAAGUCGGUUAGGACAUCUUCUUUGUGCAUGACAAAUCUUUCCAACAAUUGUUUACAGACAGAUAAUUUCGCUUGUAAUUUACUGUAUCACAAUACCAGUGGGUCAGAAGUUUACAUAAACUACAUUUCCAAGCUGCCUUUAAACAGCUUGGAAAAUUCCAUAAAAUUAUGUAAUGGCUUUAGAAGCUUCUGAUAGGCUAAUUGACAUCAUUUGAGUCAAUUGGAGGUGUACCUGUACAUGUAUUUCAAGGCCUACCUUCACACUCAGUUCCUCUUUGCUUGACAUCAUGGGAAAAUCAAAAUAAAUCAGCCAAGACCUCAGAUAAAAAAUUGUAGACCUCCACAAGUCUGGUUCAUCCUUGGGAACAGUUUCCAAACACCUGAAGGUACCACAUUCACCUGUACAAACAAUAGUACGUAAGUAUAAACACCAUGGGACCACGCAGCCGUCAUACCGCUUAGGAAAGAGACACGCUCUGUCUCCUAGAGAUGAACGUACUUUGGUGCAAAAAGUGCAGAUCAAUCCCAGAACAACAGCAAAGGACCUUGUGAAGAUGCUGGAGGAAACAGGUACAAAAGUAUCUAUAUCCACAGUAAAACGAGUCCUGUAUCAACAUAACCUGAAAGGCCGCUCAGCAAGGAAGGUAGAAGCCACUGCUCCAAAACCACCAUAAAAAAGCCAGACUACGGUUUGCAACUGCACAUGGGGACAAAGAUCAUACUUUUUGGAGUCCUCUGGUCUGAUGAAACAAAAGUGGAACUGUUUGGCCAUAAUGGCCAUCGUUAUUUUUUCAGGAAAAAGGGGGAGUCUUGCAAGCCGGAGAACACCAUCCCAACCGUGAAGCACGGGGGUGGCAGCAUCAUGUUGUGGGAGUGCUUUGCUGCAGGAGGGACUGGUGCACAUCACAAAAUAGAUGGCAUCAUGAGGCAAGAAAAGUAUGUGGAUAUAUUGAAGCAACAUCUCAAGACAUCAGUCAGGAAGUUAAAGCUUGGUCACAAAUGGGUCUUCUAAAUGGACAAUGACCCCAAGUAUACUUCCAAAGUUGUGGCAAAAUGGCUUAAGGACAACAAAGUCAAGGUAUUGGAUUGGCCAACACAAAGCCCUGACCUCAAUCCCAUAGAAAAUGUAUGGGCAGAACUGAAAAAGUGUGAAUGAGCAAGGGGGCCUACAAACCCGACUCCGUUACACCAAUUCUGUCAGGAGGAAUGAGACAAAAUUCUCCCAACUUAUUAUGGGAAGCUUGUGGAAGGCUACCCAAAAUGUUUGACCCAAGUUAAAUAAUUUAAAGGCAAUGUUACCAAAUACUAAUUGAGUGUAUGUAAACUUCUGACCCACUGGGAAUGUGGGAAUCUUUCUCUCUACUUUUAUUCUGACAUUUCACAUUCUUAAAAUAAAGUGGUGAUCCUAACUGACCUAAGACAGGGAAUGUUUACUAUGAUUAAAUGUCAGCAAUUGUGAAAAACUGAGUUUAAAUGUAUUUGGCUCAGGUGUAUUGUAAACUUCCGACUUCAACUGUAUUAUUAUUUGUCAUGCUAUCCUUGAUAUGAUCCUGCUAUUGUUUGCUACACAUGCCCAUGUGUGUGCACAUGCAUCUGUCUAUCCAAUAUUAUCAUGGUUUGUUAUAAGAGAUAUUAUACUUUAGAAAUCCACAAUGACCUGGGGAUGUCAAAGUCUAAUAUUGACUAUCUUCCAUAUUCCUACAGAUACCUUGCAACUGGAGAUUCCUUCAAAACGAUUUGGUUACCAGGGCCAUCUGGGACUGCCUACCUGUGUCCUGCAGAACUUCAUGAGGAUGUAGAUGAGGACCAGGAGGGGAUCUGCAGGAUUUUUCAAGGAUGGGCGCUAACAACGCAGCACAGGAGGCAAUCCGUGUGCGGGAGAUCUUCACCUCCUACUUCUUCGAAGAGGAUGCUGUUCCUUGGCAACACCAAAGACUAGACUAUGCACAACCAAAGGCUCUUAAGAGCCAUCCACAUUGCAAUAAGUGUAUUCUUCCAUUUACUUCGCUAUGUCAACUGCAUUUAUUCAAUUCACAGUUUAGGUAAGGGUAAUGUCUGUACAAAAACAGAACAGGCUCCUUUAAGAGUCACCCAUAUUGAAAUAGAAGAACAAUUAGACACCCUAUAACCCACAGCUACACACUCGUGUAUCAAUCUGAUUGAUGGAUUGUGUUGUGCAGUAAGCAGGCUCAGGUGUAUAACUGUGGCUCCUUCCACCUUCAAAGAACAGGCAAGAGGGCCAACCAUGGAGAAUAGUAAGACAUGGUCAUUAUUUCUAUUUAUGUAGAAAAUAAUGUAGAAAACGAUAUAUUGUUUGUCAUCGUGUGUCUGUAUGUUUUUCAGUAUAAAGUACUUUUCAGCCACUUAGUGUGGACAACGGGUGAGACGACACACAGAUUCCUGUUGAACACUGUCUCUUCAACUACCUUAUUUUCUCAAUAACCGUCUCUCUCCUUCACUUCCUCCCUCUUCCCCCCUUCUGCCUAAAUCCUCUAGGUUAUAUCAGCUGUGUCGGUGAACCCCUACCGCAUCUGAACUGGCUACAUAGAGGGCACAGUAUGAUCAGAGGUAUGUCUUGAUGUUCACCAUCAGUUCACCACCUCACCCGCUCGGGCCAACUGGGGAGACACCACGAGAGACACUAUUAUACAAUUGUGAUGAACUGAGAGAAUAUUACAUUUAGUCGCACUGUAAUUCAUGAAUCAUAUGCUGUCAUCCCUGCUCCUCUUUUCCUUUCUGUCUUCUAUACUUUUUCUCACACCUCUCUCCUCAUCUCCUCUUUAUUCCUCUGUGUUUAUCAUGCACACCAGAUGUGCAUUGAACAACAGAUUGAACUUCUAUUUAUAAUACAAGAUUACAAUUAUAAUAUUUAUAAUGCAUGUAUUAUGUAUUUAUAACACUUGGAUAACUUCUUUCAAUAAAG